CAAGGGAAUCCGACCCGCAGCGAUCAGACCCCGCCCCUUCAGGGAGAACACGGCCCGUUGGCCCCGCUCACGGCGAGAGCACCGCCCACAGGCUGAAGAUCCUGCCCCUUCAGGACGGCCGAGAACGCGCCUGCCUUGCACCACCCCCACCCCGCCCCGCGUCCUUCAGGAGAGCCGGAAACGCUCCUACCCCUACUUCGCUUCUGCACGGCCGCGAGAACGCACCUGUCCAGCCCCCUGUUCGCUCCGCCCACUCAGCGCGCGCGGGAGCGCGCGCGGGAGCAGCUCCAACUUUUUCAAUUUGCCGCCAUCUUUACGGCGGCCGACUUCCCAGCCUGCCUCGCGUCCAGGGAGGCGGAGCUCAGAUGAGGUCCGGGGAAUGAGGUGAUUCGCCCAAAAGCACACUACAAAUUGGAGUCACCAGCAGGUCUGCUAUUUUGCCACUAAACCAAUCUGCCGGUCACACCUUGGCUGUAAAGUGUCCUAACAGCCACCUACUUAUGAUUACUGCUUUCUUACCAAUAACCUCCCCAGCCUGUUGUGUGGCUCCUACAUCUUGAACAAAAGCGACCAAGGCAUACAUCUGUAGGAGACCAGAAUAUGCCACCCCAAAAUAUGCCUCCUUGGCCUAAGGAUUAUUCUGAGCUAGUAAUUUUGAGAAACAGAAGCUAUGAAAACAGCAUAAGCUACCCCUUUGAAAGAGAAAUUCACCCCGGCCACCACCCCGUCUGGGAAGUGAGGAGCGUCUCUGCCCAGCCGCCCCGUCUGAGAAGUGAGGAGCCCCUCCGCCCGGCAGCCGCCCCGUCUGGGAAGUGAGGAGCCCCUCUGCCCGGCCGCCAGGCCGUCUGGGAGGUGUGCCCAACAGCUCAUUGAGAACGGGCCAUGAUGACGAUGGCGGUUUUGUCGAGUAGAAAGUGGGGAAAUGUGGGGAAAGGAAGGAGAGAUCAGAUUGUUGCUGUGUCUGUGUGGAGAGAAGUAGACACAGGAGACUCCAUUUUGUUAUGUACUAAGAAAAAUUCUUCUGCCUUGGGAUGCUGUUAAUCUAUAACCUUACCCUCAGCCCCAUGCUCUCUGAAACAUGUGCUGUGUCCACUCAGGGUUAAAUGGAUUAAGGGCGGUGCAAGAUGUGCUUUGUUAAACAGAUGCUUGAAGGCAGCAUGCUCGUUAAGAGUCAUCACCACUCCCUAAUCUCAAGUACCCAGGGACACAAACACCGGAAGGCCGCAGGGUCCUCUGCCUAGGAAAACCAGAGACCCUUGUUCACAUGUUUAUCUGCUGACCUUCCCUCCACUAUUGUCCUAUGACCCUGCCAAAUCCCCCUCUCUGAGAAACACCCAAGAAUGAUCAAUAAAUACUAAAAAAAAAAAAAGAGAAACUCACAGUCUUAAAAGAAAUCGCUCUUUGUAAGGGUGUCUCCCUCUCUGUACCAGGAAGAGAAAGUUGACUCUAAAUCACCAGAGACCCUUAUCAAUGGAGAAGGCAGCAACUUGUUUUGUGUGCUUCUCCGGGUCUUUUUCCCAAAACUGGCCUUCCUCACUCCCUUCUUUGUUUUUAGCUGAAGAUGGUACUUAAACCUGAAUUCUAAGCCACUCCUUUGAGAAUUACUCAUUUUCUUGGGCAUCUCACAUGUAUAUGCAAAGUAUACAUGUUAAUAUAGCUCCAUUUGUUUUUCUCCUGUUAAUCUUUUGAGCUGGGCAUGGUGGCUCCCGCCUAUAAUCCCAACAUCUUGGGAGGCCAAGGCAAGAGGAUUGCUUGAACCCAGGAGCUGGAGAUCAGCCUGGGCAACAUGACAGGAGCCCAUCUCUACGAAAUAAAAAAUUAAAAAAUUAGGGCCAGGCGCAGUGGCUGACACUUGUAAUCCCAGCACUUUGGGAAGCCGAGGCAGGUGGAUCACAAGGUCAGGAGUUCAAGACCAGCGUGGCCAAGAUGGUGAAACCCCCGCCUCUACUAAAAAUACAAAAAUUAGCCAGGCAUGGUGGCAAGCGCCUGUAAUCCCAGCUACUCGGGUGGCUGAGGCAGGAGAAUUGCUUGAACCCGGGUGGCAGAGGUUGCAGUGAGCCGAGAUCAUGCCACUGCACUCCAGCCUGGGUGACAGAGCAAGACUCUGUCUCAAAAAUAAAUAAAUAAAUAGCCAGGUGUUGUGGCAAGCUCCUGUAGUCCCAGUUACUUGGGAGGCUGAGAUGGGAGGAUCACUUGAGCCUGGGGGUGUGGAGGUUGCAGUGAGCCAUGAUAGCACCACUGUGCUCUAGCCUGGGAGACACAGUGAGACCCUGUCUCAAAAAAAAAAAAUCUAUCUUUUGUUACAAGGACUCUAGCUGAGAAUUUAGAAGGGUAGCAAGAAAAUUCAUCUUUCCUCCCCUAAAUAUGCUACUGAUAGAGGCGGGAGACAGCCAAAUGCCAUCCAGGUCAUUAUGCACAGGGGGCUUGCCUAAACAUGCCUACAGUGAAAAAUUCUAUCCCUUAACACAUGUGCAGUAAGGGAAAUAAAUCAGUGUGGAGUGGCUCAGAUUAGAGGCCUACAUGUGCACUGGGGAAAUGGGGUGGAGCCACCAGGAAUUCAUGCUUUAUGCAGGGGAGCCGGGCUUCUUCAGCUCCAGUAUGGUGGCCUGAUAUUCAGUCUGUGGAGUAGGAGCCUGUUGGCAGGACCACCUCUUUGCUAAGGGCUUUCUUUUCACUUAAUACAUUCUGACCCUUCAAUGUGUCCAUGUGCCUAAUUUUUCCUGAUCGGGAGACAAGAGCCCAGAUUUUAGCUGAACUAAGAAGAAAAAUAUCGUGCGUCACUAGUUGGCCUGGAAGAACAAUGGAAUUACUCAUUUGAGAUGUGGGUUUGAAGAAAGUUAUUUUUAGUAUUCUGAUAAGCAGUUAAAAUACUGCUGUCAUGUUUCUCUCUUUGUGCCAGUCUCAUGCAGUUUCCCAGCAAAAUCACAAUUAAACUGAUAAUGUGAUUUUUAUGUUUUGGCAUCCUUUCAGAUUUUGUUUUUUUUGUUUUGUUUUUGAGACGGGGUCUGGGUGUGUCACCCAAGCUGGAAUGCAUUGGCAUAAUCACAGCUCAUUGCAGCCUCAACCUCUGGGGCUCAAGUGAUCUUCCCACCACCUCAGCCUCCUGAGUAGCUGGGACUAUCAGCGGACGCCACCAUGACUGGCUAAUUUUUAAACUUUUUGUAGAGACGGGUUUUGUGAUGUUGCUCAAGCUGGUCUUGAACUCCUGGGCUAAAGCAAUCCUCCUGUCUGAGCCUCCUGAAGUGCUGGGAUUACAGGCCACGAUGUCUGGCCUCUAAUUACUUUGAUAAUAAGUAAGCAUCUCCCCUUCUCUUUUUUUUCUGAGACAGAGUCUCACUCUAUUGCCCAGGCUGGAGUGCAAUGGCACAAACUUGGCUUUGCCUCCUGGGUUCAAGCAACCUCUGCCUCCCAGGUUCAAGCAAUUCUCCUGCCUCAGCCUCCCAAGUAGCUGGGAUCACAGGCGUGUGCUACCAUGCCCGGCUAAUUUUUUGUAUUUUUAGUAGAGAUGGCGUUUCACCAUGUUGGCCAGCCUGCUCUUGAACUCCUAACCUGCCUUCCAAAGUAUUGGGAUUACAGGUGUGAGCCACCACGCCUGGCUCUUUGUUGUUUGUUUUUGAGCUGGAGUCUCGCUGUGUCACCCAGGCUGGAGUACAGUGGCGCCAUCUCGGCUUACUGCAACCUCCACCUCCUGAGUUCAAGCGAUUCCCCUGCCUCAGCCUCCUGAGUAGCUGGGACCGCAGGCAUGCACUACCACACCCAGCUAAUUUUUGUAUUUUUAGUAGAGACGGGGUUUCACCAUGUUGGCCACGCUGGUCUUGGAACUCCUGACCUCAGGUGAUCCGCUCACCUCAGCCUCCCAAAGUGCUGGGAAUACAGGUGUGAGCCACCGCGCCUGGCCGCAUCCCCCACUUCUCUAGUGAAUUUUUUGGGGUUAUCACUGUGUUAAAAAGCUCUUCUCUUUGAGUCCCUUGGGAGAUCCCACUUUCUUCAGUAACACACCUUCUCUGGCCCUUCGUAGCUAUUUACUUUCCCAGUACUCUUUCAUCAUCUUGAAACCACCAUUGCAAAAUUAUAACUGAGACAGUGACAGAGAUCUGACCGAACCAACUCCAUCUUGCUUCUAACUUCCAAGCUGUCCUUGUUCAUUCCUGAGUGUAGGCUGAACUAACUUUGGGAGGAACUUAGUUUAUAGUUUAAAAGAAAGACAAUAAUAGCCCUUUCCCAAAACAAACCCCCAUCUUGCCUGGGGACCAGAAUGCCUUUGUAGGAGUAACAAAUUAGCCAAAAGAUUAGAAAUUAUGAUUUAGGAGUCAUGCAGCUAGAGGCUACAGGAUUCUGACCCUCCCCAAAUUGCUCCCGGGAAUAACAUCACUGAAGUCUAAGAUCAGUGCUUGAGAUAUUUUGCAGACCUCGCACUGGAUGGAUCAGCUGGCACCACCCAGAUCGAUAAACUGGCUCAUCAGAUCUUGUGGCCCCCACCCAGGAACUGACUCAAGCACAAGACAGCUUCAAUUCCCUAUGAUUUCAUCUCUGACCCGAUCAAUCAGCACUCCUGACUCACUGGAUGCCACCCACCCUCCAAAUUAUCCUUAAAAACUGUGACCUCCAAAUGCUUGGGGAGACUCAUUUGAGUAAUAAAAAAAGUCCCAGUUUCCCACACAGCUGGCUCUGCAUGAAUUAUUCUUUCUCUAUUGCAAUUCACCUGUCUUGAUAAAUUGGUUCUGCCUAGGCAGCAGGCAAGGUGAACCUGUUGGGCCAUUACAAUCUCAUAGCAGUGGCAGAAUGGACAGACCAGUGAACCCUGUGCUAGGACAACCUGCACCAGGCCCUGGCUGUUGUAGGAGGUCCUUUUUUUUUUUUUUUUUUUUGAGAUGGAGUUUCACUCUUGUUGUCCAGGCUAGAGUGCAAUGGCGCGAUCUCGGCUCACCGCAACCUCCGCCCCCUGGGUUCAAGCAAUUCUCCUGCCUCAGCCUCCCAAGUAGCUGGGAUUACAGGCAGGCACCACCACGCCCGGCUCAUUUUGUAUUUUUAGUAGAGACCGGGUUUCUCCAUGUCAGUCAGGCUAGCCCCAAAUUCCUGACCUCAGGUGAUCCACCCGCCUCCCCGCCUCGGCCUCCCAAAGUGCUGGGAUGACAGGCAUAAGCCACCGCGCCCAGCCUGUUGUAGGAGGUCUUGAACAAACCACUUAACUUGUUUGGGUGGGGCUUAGUUUCCACGUUAGUAAUCUGGAAGUAACAGUUCUGCCUUAUCUGUCUGUUAGGGUUUUGACACUUAGUGAAGUAUGGGAUUUGUAUACUGUAAAGUGAUUGAAUGUAUUUACUAGGUGCAAUACAUAAAAUACGAGUUUCAAGCACUGCUCUGCUUUUACUUAUAGAACCACGUUCUCACUUUUCUAGCCUGAUCAUUCAAGACCCUUGAACACAUCGUCCUUAUCUCCCGCUCCUCAUUGAGACCCUUCCAGAACACUACAAACUUGUAAUACUUAGCUGUAUCACCAGCAAACCAUGUCCUUCCCAAUUUCAGGACCUUUCAAUGUGCUUUCCUCUGCCUGGGGGUGGGUGGGGGGUGGAGAGUAGUUUCCUCCCAACCCAUGAAACCUCUCCACAAAGGUAGAAGAGACAGAAAACCAUUACUGAAUAAGUAUUAAACCAGAUUGUGAUGCCGUACAUCACAUGCAACCUGCUAAAGGCAACACAAAGACAGAAACUCACUUUUUCUAUGCAGCUAAGUAGAGAUAGCCCAUCACAUUAUGUAGGUUUUGCAAUUUGGAGUCAGGUGCCAAGUUAAGCCUUUGUCCUCCUAAGAAGCUGGACUCUUGGCCCUUUCGUCCCUUAACAAUUGCAUUUUUUUCUUUCUUUGUUUUUGAGACAGAGUCUCGCUCUGUCUCCAGGCUGGAGUGCAGUGGUGCUAUGUCGGCUCACUGCAACCUCCGCCUCCCGGGUUCAAGCGAUUCUCCUGCCUCAGCCUCCCGAGUAGCUGGUACUACAGGCACGCUUCACCAUGCCCAGCUAAUUUUUGUAUUUUUAGUAGGGACAGAGUUUCACCAUGUUGGCCAGGAUGGUCUCGAUCUCUUGAUCUUGUGAUCCGCCCGCCUCAGCCUCCCAAAGUGCUGGGAUUGCAGGCGUGAGCCACCGCACCCAGCCAACAAUUACACUUCAAGGAGAUGGCUCCCAAGAAACAUUCCUGAGUUGAACCUGGCCAUAUAAGAAAAAGACUUGAGUACAUUUGGAAAGGAGAGAGGCUGAAAUUUUGAAAGAAAAAGGGAGGGGGAUGGUUUCUCGUCCCUUCUUUUCCUCAGGGAAAAUUAAACCCUAUGUAUAAUUUGUAUUUGCCCUUCCACCUGCAUCACCUUUCCCACAUGCUCCCACAGGCAGGCUCCUGUUCAUUCCCAAGGCUCCGUGUCCACAUCGUGCUUGGAUUCCGCCCGGCCCCGCCUGUGCGGCCGCACCAGGAAGGCACCACCCAUUAGGGGCUCAGCGCGUCCCUCCAGGCCACGCCGUCAGGCCUCCGUCCUUUUAGCUGUAGGGGCAGAUUACGUAACUCCAGCCUUCUGGUCACUAAAGGAGGGUAACAAAGGGCGGUCGAGAGACUCCACUGAGUUGACACGCAGACGCAGCCUCAGGACCCUAAACUCUACGCCCCAGCACACCCUACCAAGCGAGCGCCCGCGGCCGCGUGACGUCAUCUACCCCAAACGCUGUGGCCCCGGCCACGCACGGCUUCGGGGCGGGACUACGCGGUGACGUCGAGGUGCGCGGCGCAGCGCGCGGCGUCAGUCUUGGCUGGCAGACCUGUACUCCGUACUCCGUACUUCGUAGUCGCAGCGGCGCGGUCUUCGGCAGUCUAGUCAUCCACCGCCAUCCUGGGCCCCACGUGUUGCCUGACCAUUCCUGAGCCCAGGUGGGAGCCGUGGCUGAGGUGACGGUCUCAAAGUGGAAGAGCUUACUGUCACAGCAACUCCUUUGCAAGAUGCCCCGUGUCCAUGAAACUGGGAGGCGACCGUGUUAGCUGCCAGUUCCUGACAGCCACCUCUCACCAGUGGCUUCACUCUGUGUCCCUGACCCAGCACAUGGCACAAGAGUGCCUGCCAUCCGUCAGUGUUUCUACAGCAGCAAUCCCAAGAUGCUGGAGCUAGAGGGGACCUGACCUGAGAGAAGAUACCUUCAGUGGCUGCCAGGCUGUUCCUUGGAACCUGUGCAGGGAUGAGGCCUGCCUGUGUUAAUACACCUAGUGAGGAGUGGAGCUGAAUUUGAAUGCAAGCCUUGGCACCUUAAUUGAGCAAGUUUGAAACCUCGCUUGUUGCCCUUCUGGAAGGAGUCAGGAAUUUCCAGUUCUGGGCCUGGGCUGUGGGUCUGGCAGACAGACCUCUGGCCCUAGGUUUGGGUGCCAGGUUCUCUGCUUCCAGAAUGAGAAGCUUUGCUGUGCACCAGGACCUGGGCCCUUCUGGUAUCUCCUGAAUGAAAAACAAGGGAUAUUUAAUAAAUAUGGAUUUAAAUAUGUGA
This 7502-nucleotide long non-coding RNA is filed under the name Homo sapiens (human). RNAcentral describes it as "HSALNT0122117". The record is from RNAcentral. Lineage: Eukaryota; Metazoa; Chordata; Mammalia; Primates; Hominidae.